GACGAACGCUGGCGGCGUGCUUAACACAUGCAAGUCGAGCGAAGGUGUUUCAAGGGUAACCUUGAGAUACACUUAGCGGCGGACGGGUGAGUAAUACGUGGAUAACUUACCUCUAGGGCCUGGGAUAACCCCGGGAAACUGGGGCUAAUACCUGAUAAGACCACAUUGUCUACGGACAAAGGGGUAAAGUGGCUGUGCAAACAGCUAUCGCCAAAAGNUAGGUUCACGUCCCAUCAGGCAGUUGGNGAGGUAAUGGCUCACCAAACCAAGACGGGUAGCCGGCCUUGGCGGGUGAACGGCCACAC
Molecule: ribosomal RNA, 305 nt
Filed under: uncultured bacterium
Lineage: Bacteria
Description: bacterial SSU rRNA
Rfam family: Bacterial small subunit ribosomal RNA
Source: RNAcentral